Molecule: small nuclear RNA, 281 nt
Filed under: Canis lupus familiaris (dog)
Lineage: Eukaryota; Metazoa; Chordata; Mammalia; Carnivora; Canidae
Also listed under: 1 other name
Description: 7SK RNA
Rfam family: 7SK RNA
About the family: 7SK was discovered as an abundant small nuclear RNA in the mid-70s but a possible function has only recently been suggested.
Source: Rfam by way of RNAcentral
GGAUGUGAGGGCGAUCUGGCUGCGACAUCUGUCACCCCAUUGAUCGCCAGGGUUGAUUCGGCUGAUCUGGCUGGCUAGGCGGGUGUCCCCUUCCUCCCUCACCGCUCCAUGUGCGUCCCUCCCGAAGCUGCGCGCUCGGUCGAAGAGGACGACCAUCCCCGAUAGAGGAGGACCGUUCUUCGGUCAAGGGUAUACGAGUAGCUGCGCUCCCCUGCUAGAACCUCCAAACAAGCUCUCAAAAAUAAAAUAAAAUGUGUUUAAGAAAUGCUUUUGGAUUUUCC